Molecule: ribosomal RNA, 589 nt
Filed under: Paenibacillus polymyxa
Lineage: Bacteria; Bacillati; Bacillota; Bacilli; Caryophanales; Paenibacillaceae
Also listed under: 2 other names
Description: partial 23S ribosomal RNA
Rfam family: Bacterial large subunit ribosomal RNA
Source: RNAcentral
GGUUAAGCUACAAAGAGCACACGGAGGAUGCCUAGGCGCCAGGAGCCGACGAAGGACGUGGCGAACAACGAUAAGGCCUCGGGGAGCUGUAAGCAAGCUUUGAUCCGGGGAUGUCCGAAUGGGGAAACCCGGCUGUCUUCAUCGACAGUCACUUUCUGCUGAAUACAUAGGCAGAAUAGAGGCAGACCAGGGGAACUGAAACAUCUAAGUACCCUGAGGAAGAGAAAACAAUAGUGAUUCCGUCAGUAGCGGCGAGCGAACGCGGAUUAGCCCAAACCAAGGAGCUUGCUCCUUGGGGUUGUGGGACGUCUCACAUGGAGUUACAAAGGAACCGGUUAGAUGAAGAGGUCUGGAAAGGCCCGCCAGAGAAGGUAAAAGCCCUGUAGUUCAAAACUUGUUCUCUCCGAGACGGAUCCCGAGUAGUGCGGGGCACGUGAAACCCCGUAUGAAUCCGGCAGGACCAUCUGCCAAGGCUAAAUACUCCCUGGCGACCGAUAGUGAAGCAGUACCGUGAGGGAAAGGUGAAAAGCACCCCGGAAGGGGAGUGAAAUAGAUCCUGAAACCGUGUGCUUACAAGAAGUCAGAGCCC